UAGUCUUUUAUAGUAUUUGUUUUGUUUUCACUGAAACCUCCUGGCUAUGGGUGGGAUUUUGUCAUGAAGUGUUUUUUUUACAACAAAAAAUCUGUUAUAAUCUAGGUGCCAACAUUUUGUUCAUUUAUUAAGUGUGACAUUUUAAUCAUGAAGUUUUAAGGUAUAUAGAAAAUCAGUCUGUUCAUGGAUCUUGUUUAGGCAACUCCUAUUGAAUGGCUACAUAGAUAUUGGGAAAUUGUCAAGAGUUAUAAAAUACUACAUGGGAAUGUACUUAAAGGGAUAUAUUCCCAAGUAUUACAUUGCUAAAGGGAUAUAUCCAAAUUUAUUUUGUUUAGUAUUGCAAUAUAUCAUGUGACUUGCAAGCACUGCUUCCAAAUAACUGGACAGUUAUUGAUGAAACACAAUGUGGAAUACCUCGCUGGGCUGUACAAAUUGGAAUAUAAUGCCGGUCCUUUUUAUGAAAGGGGGCUAAAUCUAAUUACUUACUUCAAUAUCUGCUGAUAGUCUCUCUUAAGUACAACUCCUUAAAUAGUUUUUAUCAACCAAGGAUAAACACAAAGGAAUAAUAUGUCAGUAGCUGCUAGUAUUCCUUUGUUAAUUUAUGUGUCAUUGUAAUUUGCUAAGUUUCUUGUGUAACCUAUUCUGACAUCAGACUUCUUUUGAACUGAGUUUUACUGUGAAUAUUACUGUGUGUUUUGUAUAUUCUACAUUCUCUAGAUAUAAUGGGGCAUUUUUGUGCCUGUCAAAAAGACAAGAGGCUCUAGCCUUUGUUAGUUUGUAUGUUUUUUUAAAUUUUAGUUCAUUUAUAUAUUUUGGAGUUUAGUGUGACGUCCAUUUUCACUGUUAUUUUUAUUAUAAGUCAUUUAUAUUUUCAUUACACUAAUAUGAUUGAAGGGCAGGGGUAUCAACAAUUCUACUUUACCUAUUGUUGAUUUAAAACUAAAGUGCAAGAAAAUUAUACUUAUGAACCUAAAAUUAUUGCAUUCCAUUUAUCUUACUAAUUUGCAUUGUUAUGACAGUAUUGUACACUGUCAACAACCAAAAACUUGAAGUUUUUCAGGGAGCAAUUGAUAAUCAGCAAACUUUUAGUUUGUUUUAAUGUAUAAAAAUACUGAUCUCGAAGGAAAAUCUAAACGGAAAGUCCCUAAUUAAAUGGAAAAAUCAAAAGCUCAAACACAUCAAAGAUUGCUUGAAACAAAUGAAAAUCAAACUAUCUCUGCAACACUGAGAUUGUUCUCUACAUAUCUUUACAUAUUUUUGUGAUAUUAUUUAUGCUGGCAUUUAGCUUUAUCACAAUGUUAAUAAAUACAGAUUGUGUAUAGAUAAAAAUAUGUGUUCAAAAAUGUUUGAGAUAUUUUUAAGGC
Molecule: long non-coding RNA, 1364 nt
Filed under: Mytilus galloprovincialis (Mediterranean mussel)
Lineage: Eukaryota; Metazoa; Mollusca; Bivalvia; Mytilida; Mytilidae
Source: RNAcentral